GCCCCCUUCGUCUAGUGGCCCAGGACGCCGUUCUCUCCGAACGGAAACAGAGGUUCGAAUCCUUUAGGGGGUG
This 73-nucleotide transfer RNA is filed under the name Pirellulaceae bacterium. Its description in RNAcentral is "tRNA-Glu". It matches the Rfam family "tRNA". Rfam says of the family: Transfer RNA (tRNA) molecules are approximately 80 nucleotides in length. Their secondary structure includes four short double-helical elements and three loops (D, anti-codon, and T loops). RNAcentral also lists the same sequence under 1 other name. The record is from RNAcentral. Lineage: Bacteria; Pseudomonadati; Planctomycetota; Planctomycetia; Pirellulales; Pirellulaceae.